RNAcentral lists this long non-coding RNA (6634 nucleotides) under Mytilus galloprovincialis (Mediterranean mussel). The record is from RNAcentral. Lineage: Eukaryota; Metazoa; Mollusca; Bivalvia; Mytilida; Mytilidae.
AAAGAAUUUGUCACCCAUUGCAAAAGUCAAUCUGAAAAUAUAGUUUUUCUUACAAAGACAAGUUGCACGUAAGUAUUAUGUUAUUAUUCUUUUGUAUUUUGAUUUUUCUAGAAUUCAAAUUUUUGAAAUGGAGUUUAGCUCUGAUAUUAAAAAUUAUCACAUACUGCACGACAUUCCGUAAAAUGGAAUUCCGGCGUUAAACGGUUUAUUUCGGAAAAUACACCUCAAUGGUGCGUUUUCAGUGAAAAACAUAACAAAGUAGGUUACAAAACAUUUAUUAGGAAACAAGAAGAUAAAUAAUGUAAAUUGCGCAAAAAAAAAGGAUACAAUAGACAUUUUUUUAAAACUUCUUGGUCCCUAGAGUUCCAGCAUAAUUUAAACAGUUACUUUACAAAUGUUUACUCUUGCAAACAGUGUCCAUUAUGUUGACUUUUUUCAUCGCCAAUUGUUGUUUUUCGUCUCUGUUGAGUUUUAUCAUUGUCAUUUUUUUUAACAUCGGAUGUAUUACAUUUGGCGUCCAAGGUCCGUAAACUUUUCACUUUUUGAACUUCUUCUUAAGAUCCACUUGAAAGGUUCAUUAUAAUGUAACUGCUAUUUUCUCUAUUUUUUGACGCAUAUGAUAAAAAGAUCAAGACAUGCCAUUUUUAAUAUCAGAUGUAUUAUUAGCCCUCGGUCAAUAUCAGACCUCGAGCCUUCCGCAUUUCGGCUGCUAUUGAACACAUCCGAUUUGAAAAUUGACAUGUAAAAAUCUGAUAGAAUUCUACUGAAUACAUCUUUCAUUUACAUUCAGUACACAUUCUAACAUAUUGUUCGAUAUUUAAAAAAUACACAAAUCGUUAAUUCAAAGGUAUUCCAAUAAUGCCUUAUAGAAUUAGUUACCAGAGACUUAAGAGGUCCUAAGGCCAAAAUAUUUUCCCUGAUCUUGUCAGUAAUAGUUUUCUGAGCAUUUUAUGCUUUUUGGAAAACAUUCUUAGUCAUUUUCAAAAUCCAGUCCUUUCUAUUGUGCUAAUAUUGCAUAUUUACCAAUAUUUGUUGAUAUAUCAGACGACGACAAGAUGUUCAAAUGUAAACGUAUUAAUGCUCUUCAUUUCGUACUCUAUUUGGCCUUUUAACCUUUUUUUAUGACCUUGGCGUAUACGAUUAAAAGACUGUUUGGUAUCUUUGGUGAGUUUCUUUCAUUUACUGAGUCGUUGCUACAGCUGGUGAGGAUUUCCUCCCCGAAGGUCUUUGGACCCACUUGUCACCAUUUCGAUGUUGACAUGAAUAAUCUUUGAUAUUUUGAUAUAAAUAAAUUAACUGUUUACAACACUUUAUAUUGUUCUAAAUACAUAGGAUUCUCUGUUUAAUGAAUAUAAUAAUAUUAGCAAAGCUGUAUUUGGAAAAACCUUUCAGAAUGUUUUGUCUUCAAUGCUUGUCAACUUUGUUCUUUAUUUGGCCUCUGAACUUUCCUGAUUCUAGCGUCACUCAUUAGUCUUUAGAAGAUAAACUUAUUAAUUGUGUUCAAACUAUAAGCCUGGAGUAUUCGAUGAGUGUUUCUUUUUUUUUUUUGUAACAAUUUAAAGUUGAAAAGUGUAAGAUUAUUUUGUACCUGUUCAGACCUGCUAAAAAGCAAAAUGACAAAUAUACUGAGUUCCGAGGAAAAUUCAAAAAGGAAAGUGCCUAAUCAAAAAUUAAAACAUGAAAAAACGUUAAAAACGAAGAAUUUUAUGUUUUUUCCCCUGGAUUUCUAACUUUCUAACUUAUUUGAUGCUCUUUUAUUUGGUUUGUUUCGUCGUAAUCAUCUAUAUUGGUUUUUUAAGUGUUGGAGAAUAAAAAGUAUUGGUUUUUAUUAUUAUUGAAUGGAAUUUAAAGGAACUUAUUAUUUAAAAGCAAAUAUGAUAAUUAAUGCUGCUCAAUUCAAACAAAUCAGCUUUACCCACAAAAUCCUUUAAUUAGGAUAUCGACAGUAAUUAUAAUAAUGUGCCUUGUGACCAUUGAUAUAACUAAAAAACAAAAAAAAAGGUAAUUAAAAUGUUUAAUAUCAGCUUACAUUAGAUUUAUGAGUUUGACUGUCCCUUUGGUAUCUUUCGUCCCUCUUUUACAGGGAACUAUGAAGAAUUUAAUUGUUCUUGCCCUUUGUUUGGUCAGUGUUGUUUACUCAAACCCAUACAGGAAUAUUGGACUCUAUAGAGGUAAAUAUGUUCAACAUUUACUUCACAGCAGCAGCAACAACAAUAAAUAUGUGUAUUUUUUUCUGUAUUUUUAUUAGAUAAAUAAACAAAGUUGAUCAAACAUUGUGGAAUAUUAUUAUCAAUCAAUAUGCUUGAUUUUUUUCUUCUAAUUCUUUGAUUUAUAGUAUCGUAUGUAAAACAGCAUAACCCAUCGUUAUAAGUCUCUUAUCAAUUAUUGCCUGUUGGCGUAUCUUAAUCAAUGUAUGAUAUUGUCUUUUUUCAAAGAAUAGUCUUUAAAUUGGGACCACUGACGCGUCUAAUGUCACACAAUAUUAUGUUUUACAUGUAAAUUUACAAAAUUAGAACCUUAAAUUUUAUCUCACACCUAUUAAAUACAAAGACAAACAUGCACAACAAAAAAAUCAGAUAUUUAAACUAAGUUACGAUAUAAACAUUUUAAUAAUAAAGAUCACAAAAUACCAAACUCCUAGGAAAAUUCAAAAUGGAAAGUCAAUUUACAAAUGAUAAAAUCAAAAGUUCAAACACAUCAACUGUAUCGAAAAAAAACUGUCAUAUUCAUGACUUGGUAAAGGCAUUCGUUAUGUACAAAAGGGUGGAUUAAACCAGGUUUUAUAGCUAUCUAAACCUCACACUUGUAUGACAGUCGCAUAAAAUAUUCCGUUAUACUGACAAUAAUUUUGUAAGCGAAACAAACAGACAUAAUAGGUAAAAAAAAAAGGGUAUAGCAGUCAUCAUUGCAUUAUAAUCACCAUUUAAAAAAAAUCCAUUUAUAUCAAAACAUGUUUCUGUUUUAUAUUUUCGUCGUAUAAACUAGAAGGUCCAUCACUACACGUCGUCAGUAAGAAGUUUCUUUUCAUUUUCUUACAUGCUCGAUAAUUGUGUGAAACGGCAGGAUAUGGUUACAUGUAUUUAACUGUAUUUAUACACAUUAUAAUAUGUAAACAUAUUCAUAAAUAUUUACUUAAUUGUUCUUUCAAAUUUUAUGCAUGCGAUGUGUUUAAAUGACAGUUGUUUUAGCGUCGUUAGAUGUGUUUGAACUUUCAAUUUUGCCAUUUAUAAUUGACUUUCCGUUUUGAAUUUUCUUUCGAGUUUAAUAUUUCUAUUAUUUUACUUUUUAUCAAAUACUUAUAAUACUAGUAAUCAUGAAAUUUCGCGAUAUGUGACACUUCAUUAUCGUACGAUAUCUUUACCUAUUGAAACGAAAUUGAAUAAAGCAGUCAUUAUAAAAAAGAAGAUGUGAUAUGAUUGCAAAUGAGACAACUCCAAGCGAGGCCAAACUGAAACAGAUAUUAACAACUUUAGGUCACCGUACGACCUUCAACAAUGAGCAAAGCUCAUACCGCAUAGUCAGCUUUAUAAGGCCCCGAAAUGACAAUGGAAAACAAUUCAAACGAGAAAAGUAAAGGCCUAAUUUAUGUACAAAAAAAUGCGUCAUAAGAAUAAAUAUGAAAUAUUUUGCUGAAUCUACAAUCAAGAUUAAUAUCAUUCACUUCUUCUACAGUUAGUGUUUGACGGAAAACAAAUUAAAGUCAAUCUAUUUGUUCGUAUGAUUCUUCGAACGUAAAGUUUAUUUAAUUUUUAAUUUUUGUGUUGUAACGCCACUUUUAAGCGCCACUUUUUAGCUUAUUUUAUGACGGUCAGUUUUUAUAGGUGGAGGAAGCCAGAGUGCCCGGCGAAAACUACCAACCAUCGAUAGGAAAACUGACAAUCCUAAUCUAUUCAGAUUGGAGUUGAGUGCAAACUUCAGUGUUGACCAGCUAGUAGAACUACUUAGACCAAUUGGCCAUCGAGGCCCCUUUGUACGUAAAAAAAACGAGAAAACAAAAACGAAGUAGUUGCUGAAUUUACAGGUUCUGUAUACAUGUAUAAAUAACACCAUGAUUUUUCUACUUAGGCUAUGUUGGAUGUUUCGUGGAUGACCGUAAUCACCUUAUGUUAAAUCAUAGGAAACGGGUUUUACAUCGGAAUUCAUUACUGAAAUGCAGACAUCACUGUAGAGGGUUCAGGUAUCUUGGAUUACAGGUAAAACAACAAUGCGAGCUAUCUACAAUUAGCAAAUUGUACAGUGGUUGCGGUUCGCAUUUUCCAUAAAAAUUGUUUGUCAAAAAAGUGUUUCUGGGAGGUGGCAAUUCUGAGUAAUUAAGUUUAUAAAAAAGUAAGCACAGUUAAGUUAGUUCUGAUAUAAAAAAUUUAAAAAAUCGUAAGUCGGUUUAUACCAAUCUUAUUCUUGACUUUUAAUUGUUGUUUUAUGUCAAAUUUUCGGUUUUGAUAUUUCUUGGUUUUGGAAUUUUCUGCUUUCCGCCAUUCGAAUUUUAGAAUUUUAACAACACUAAAGGUAUCAGUUUUACUAAAUCAGAAGCACAUUUCGUCAAGCAAUAAAUCUUAAGUGAUGCUUGAAACCAAAAUUUUGUAAAUCAUAAACCUGAUACAAGAUUGAACUAAAAUGGGCAGAAAGUGUAGCGAAAUCUGGACAAGAAAUCAGAGCUUCGCAUGAGGAAGAUAUAUAUAAAAUGACUGAAUAAUAGCCAAUGAUAACUCUUACGGGACUAUGGAUCAUAUAUUUAUGAUACAGUAUACUACAAAAUAUAAUAUAUAGCAAGUCUAAAAAGGUACAAUAUCAUAAAAAACAAUAAAAUUAACAAAUGUUAAAUAUUUCGGAUAACAGAUAUCCUUCAUCAGUAUGAGCACGAUGUAAAAUGAAUCAGAUCAAUCUAUUCUGAUUAUUAAACGAUAGCAAUCUUUAAUUCUACACAGUAAAAAAAAAGUGAAAGAGUUUCAUCCGAAAACGUCUCCAUAUAUGAUGUUUGGGUGGAACUGUUUCACUUUUUAAUUGAAAGCGGCAGAAGAUAACAUAGUCAAACAUUUAUAGAAAAAAAGAAUAAGCAACAUAAACCAAUGAUUUAUUAACAUCAUUCAAAAGCAGAUUGGUAAAUUUCUUUUUUCUCAUCAAUACGUAAUCACAAAAUAUAUAAAUCAUCAGUACAUGUAAAUUAUCUGACCCCUAAAUAUGCCAACUCAUAAUUUCCAGUCUCGAUUUUUAUUUAUUUUUUGGUAACAUACAAAUAUAUAUUUUUCAGGCCGGUCGUUGGUGCCUUUGUGGAAACAGGUAUUACAGCCGAGCAUAUCCCCAAGCAUCGGAGUUGGAAUGCAAAUACCGUUGUCCAGGGGAACCGAAUAGGAUGUGUGGCGGCGCGUGGAGAAAUUCAAUCUAUAAAGGUACAUAAAGUUAGAAAGAUAUGUAAAGUUAAAAACAGAGUAACUUUUAUAUGCGUUAACUUAUCUUCAAUCCCAAAUGGCUGACUAAAGAUAAAAUAUGUCAACCGUGACCUCUUUAGUCCGGCAUUCGAAAUUAAACUUAAGGACGACAGCGAUCAUUUGUAUAUGAGGGAUGUAUGAAAACGCAGUUACGUUCGAAUAUGUUGCAUCCAAAUGAACGCUGAACGUGAAUAAACGUUACAGGGCAAAAUGACUGGACAUACCCAAAACAUAUUUUUUACAGUUGUUUUCUAUUUUUUUCCGUAACAUUAUUCCAAAGAGAAACAACAAAAUCACAAAAAUAAAUGAAAUAAAAACAAGACAAAUAUGUUUCAAAAGACGUCUAUACAAUAUUCCUAUCUAAGUUCAGAAAAAUACUGUGAACUAAUUUGAGAAAUCUUACAAAACAUUUUCCUGCAAGAUAAUUUUUUGUGUUACGCCAUAUCAUGAUGUGUUUACAUACUAUGUAUUCGCAUGACUUGGGAUGCAUGCGAAACUAGAGACGCGACUCAUGUGAUUCCCUCAUGUUUUGUUAUUUUGAUUGUAAAUUAGAAAUGGAAUUUGAACAUCAGUUUACUACUAUUGCAUCUCAUUUAGACACCUUAAAAUGUGGCUAUGGACUUUUUAGGUAACACAAUGUUCGGCAACCAAAGAUACUAGAAUAUAUAGACUGUUCUACAUUUUAAUGACCACGAUAUGUUUUACUAAAAUGAUGUUUUUCACAAAAUUUAGAAGCAAAACAUUUGGAACGUCAAACAAUAGUAGAAUAACAAAAAUAUUGAAUUCCAGGAAAUAUUGAAACGGUUAAGCCCUUUUUAUCAGACAACAGUGGUUUGAAUAAAAGAAUUGAAGAAUAAAAACAGCUGGAAAAGAGAAAGGUGUGAUGAUAAUUAAUCUGAUGAAAUUAACGAAAGUUUUCAUAUUGAUGAAUGAAACCACGGAUAUAGCUUUCCGGAAGUUAAAUAAGUAAACUUAUGUUUGAUAGAUAAUAUAAUUAAGAUGGUUAUAAUUGUUUUUUUUAAUUUUUAUUUACAGUUUGAUUUCGUUGGAAAAGAAUCACGAGCAGCAUAUUACAGAUCAACUACAUCGUCGUAAUUGAAAUAUCUUAAUCAUAGAACUUUAUUUUAUAAUCAUGUUAUAAAUUGUAGAAUCAAAAUAAAUCAUAUCUAAAAUCAAGGAACUUGCUAAGAAAUAUGAAUAUCAAUUCU